This 478-nucleotide ribosomal RNA is filed under the name uncultured bacterium. RNAcentral's name for it is "partial 16S ribosomal RNA". It matches the Rfam family "Bacterial small subunit ribosomal RNA", at positions 28 to 523 of the family's 1533-position model. The record is from RNAcentral.
GACGAACGCUGGCGGCGUGCUUAACACAUGCAAGUCGAACGGUAAGGCCCUUCGGGGUACACGAGUGGCGAACGGGUGAGUAACACGUGGGUGAUCUGCCCUGCACUUCGGGAUAAGCCUGGGAAACUGGGUCUAAUACCCGAUCGGACCACUGCCUGCAUGGGUGGUGGUGGCAAGCUUUUGCGGUGUGGUCUGGGCCCGCGGCCUAUCAGCUUGUUGGUGGGGUGAUGGCCUACCAAGGCGACGACGGGUAGCCGGCCUGAGAGGGUGACCGGCCACACUGGGACUGAGAUACGGCCCAGACUCCUACGGGAGGCAGCAGUGGGGAAUAUUGCACAAUGGGCGCAAGCCUGAUGCAGCGACGCCGCGUGAGGGAUGACGGCCUUCGGGUUGUAAACCUCUUUCAGCACCGACGAAGCGCAAGUGACGGUAGGUGCAGAAGAAGGACCGGCCAACUACGUGCCAGCAGCCGCCGUAA